RNAcentral lists this long non-coding RNA (867 nucleotides) under Anas platyrhynchos platyrhynchos (common mallard). Its description in RNAcentral is "lncRNA (ENSAPLG00000028249.1)". The record is from RNAcentral. Lineage: Eukaryota; Metazoa; Chordata; Aves; Anseriformes; Anatidae.
GGAACCUUCCAGUGAGACUCCACAACCUGCAGAGUUGCAUGGCACCUCUCAAGAGAAGGGGAUAUAAAGUGCUCCUAUCUGUCAGAAGCUGCAGCAUGUGCUGGCACAGAUUUCCCACCCUCUAGUCGUGGAUCCUCUUGUGCCAAAAUGAAAGCCUGGUGUCUUGUGCUAAAAAAUAUAAGAAUGAUUGAACCUUCAGCAUAUCACCUAUCAAAUGAUCUCUGCAUGAAGAAUUAGAUGUGAAAACUAGCUUCUGGGAGAGGCAAGACUGAAGUGCCUCAUGAAGUGCUUAACAAGACAGCUGAACAAGACACAUUUUCAAUUCCAUUUAUCUAUUAAAAUUAUUUCUUGAGGACCUUGUGAAGGUUUGAUUUAAAGGUAUAUUAGAAGAACUAUGUUAAAGACUGCUAGAAGGCUUUAAAUUAAAUGUUCUUAUGAAGUAAACCCUAAGUUUAAUCAUUUAUCAUGCAUGUUUGGGUUGAAAAGCAUUACAAUGUGUGUUAUAUACGCACAUGUAAGUAUUAACAUAAGUAAACGGGAUUGAUUGGAUUGAGUCUUAGAGUAUAUAUUCUGUUCCCCAAAAGACGUUUGUCUUAAGGAACUCUAAUUACAGAGAAAAUUUAAAAUCAUAGAAUCAUAAUCAUUUCCAGCUAUCACUCAGUGGUUUAGUUCACUUCUCUAAGUACCAGUUACUUUGUAUUCAGAUAUGUACUUUAAAUAAUUAACAGUUAUAUAUGGAAUUACGUGUACAUUCAUUAUACUUUUUAAUGAUGUUCCACAAUACAUAAAUGUGCAUCCUGAAUGCCCAUCCUUAAUAUUCUCCAGAUCAUCCUGAGAACAUACUGAACAGCUGUAGGCCAAUACCUC